GUAUUUUAGAGUCAAAUAUGACUUGAUGUCAUGUGUAUGAUUGAGUAUACGAACUAGAACCUUAACUGGAUC
RNAcentral lists this small RNA (72 nucleotides) under Arabidopsis thaliana (thale cress). Its description in RNAcentral is "ATSL162700". Lineage: Eukaryota; Viridiplantae; Streptophyta; Magnoliopsida; Brassicales; Brassicaceae. The record is from RNAcentral.